RNAcentral lists this ribosomal RNA (111 nucleotides) under Chinchilla lanigera (long-tailed chinchilla). Lineage: Eukaryota; Metazoa; Chordata; Mammalia; Rodentia; Chinchillidae. The record is from RNAcentral.
AUCUGUAGCCACACCACCUUGAACGCACUUGAUCUCUGAAGCCAAGCACAAGGUCUGGGUAGUACUUGGGUGGAAGGAGACUUCAUACUGGAAGAGAGGAGCUGAUGGAUU